UGCUGAAACUCUGUUCAACCC
Molecule: microRNA, 21 nt
Filed under: Bos taurus (domestic cattle)
Lineage: Eukaryota; Metazoa; Chordata; Mammalia; Artiodactyla; Bovidae
Description: bta-miR-12006
Source: miRBase by way of RNAcentral